Molecule: ribosomal RNA, 305 nt
Filed under: uncultured Methylibium sp.
Lineage: Bacteria; Pseudomonadati; Pseudomonadota; Betaproteobacteria; Burkholderiales; Sphaerotilaceae
Description: bacterial SSU rRNA
Rfam family: Bacterial small subunit ribosomal RNA
Source: RNAcentral
AUUGAACGCUGGCGGCAUGCCUUACACAUGCAAGUCGAACGGCAGCACGGGAGCAAUCCUGGUGGCGAGUGGCGAACGGGUGAGUAAUGUAUCGGAACGUGCCCAGUAGGUGGGGGAUAGCCCGGCGAAAGCCGGAUUAAUACCGCAUACGACCUACGGGUGAAAGCGGGGGAUCGCAAGACCUCGCGCUAUUGGAGCGGCCGAUAUCAGAUUAGCUUGUUGGUGGGGUAACGGCCUACCAAGGCAACGAUCUGUAGCUGGUCUGAGAGGACGGCCAGCCACACUGGGACUGAGACACGGCCCAG